UACGUAGGGUGCAAGCGUUGUCCGGAAUUAUUGGGCGUAAAGAGCUCGUAGGUGGCUUGUCACGUCGGGUGUGAAAGCUUGGGGCUUAACUCCAGGUCUGCAUUCGAUACGGGCUGGCUAGAGGUAGGUAGGGGAGAACGGAAUUCCUGGUGUAGCGGUGAAAUGCGCAGAUAUCAGGAGGAACACCGGUGGCGAAGGCGGUUCUCUGGGCCAUAACUGACGCUGAGAAGCGAAAGCAUGGGGAGCGAACAGG
This 253-nucleotide ribosomal RNA is filed under the name uncultured bacterium. RNAcentral's name for it is "partial 16S ribosomal RNA". It matches the Rfam family "Bacterial small subunit ribosomal RNA", at positions 524 to 776 of the family's 1533-position model. The record is from RNAcentral.